Molecule: long non-coding RNA, 908 nt
Organism: Thunnus maccoyii (southern bluefin tuna)
Lineage: Eukaryota; Metazoa; Chordata; Actinopteri; Scombriformes; Scombridae
Exons: 2
Source: RefSeq, a predicted model, not a curated record
CCUAAGGUUAGCUAGAGAACAAAAUGAUAUAUGAACGAAUCAUGGAGUAACGUUAAUGUAACGGCAGCAGUGUGUCAGCAGUAUGAUCCUCUCGCUCUUCCACUACUACAGGUUGCUACUUGUCACCUUGAUCACGAACACUACCCUUUAGAGUACACUGUAGAAGCUACAUUAUAGUAUAGAAUUGAGUAUUUAUAGUAUACAGUUCGAGGAAUAUUAUAGAUCCUAUAACGAAACUGACAGAAGGAUGGGACUGAGAGAAAUUAGUUUUACAAAUCUGUCUGCCAACCUUAAUUCAGCACCACAGACAGCGCCAUGGAUUGAUCAAUACACGGCACAGUUACAAGGAGGAUACAUUUUCUCCCCUCAUAAUGCCCACUGGUUAAGGUGCUAGGAAGAAGAAUCUUAUCUGCAAACAUCCACUGAUAACUCAUAUUAGGUUGAGAAAUAAGUUGGGAUGGGAAUUGUAUUCAGUAUUAAUGACUAAUAUAAUGUAUAUAUAUUCUGUUAAACCAGCUCAAAUUUGGGUGAGAGGGAGGAAAAGGUCUUUCUGCCAGUACAUAAGGCUGAGGUUAAGGUAGAGGGCAGGUUACCAUAGCAACAUCUCUUUUCAUUCAGCCCCUUAGACAGUCAACCAAGAAUCUUAAAGAUGUUCUAGUUCUGGGUUGUGCAUCAUCAUAGAAUCAUAGAAGGACACAAUACUUCCAUCUCUGCUCACAUAAAAACACAGCAGAGAGAUGGUGGCUGCAGCAGAAAGCUGCUCCAAGACAUGUGUCUGUGGAGGAGGCUCUCAAAAAGGCAUGAAGAGGAGUGACUACACAAGUGUUGGAGGAAGAUACAGUUUUAACCAAAGGCUGUUGUUUUGUGUUUACUGCAGUUUUUUGAAAUAAAUGGUUUAUGCAAUUUUA